Molecule: transfer RNA, 74 nt
Filed under: Brevundimonas sp.
Lineage: Bacteria; Pseudomonadati; Pseudomonadota; Alphaproteobacteria; Caulobacterales; Caulobacteraceae
Also listed under: 3 other names
Description: tRNA-Gln
Rfam family: tRNA
About the family: Transfer RNA (tRNA) molecules are approximately 80 nucleotides in length. Their secondary structure includes four short double-helical elements and three loops (D, anti-codon, and T loops).
Source: RNAcentral
UGGGGAAUGGUGUAAUGGUAACACAGCGGUUUUUGGUACCGUCGUUCAAGGUUCGAGUCCUUGUUCCCCAGCCA